UACAAGUCUUUUCUCCAAAGGAAUGAACUUCUCCUGAAAUCAAGCCCAGAGCAUUCCAGGAAGAAAAAACAACAUCUGUAGAGAUGCUGAGACAAGAACAAACAUGGCGUGUGCGGGGAGCUUGCAAGUCGUUCAGCAUGACUUAAGUGAAAUGGAAAGUUCUGAGAAGAGUAAGCUGUCGAACUAGAAAGGAAAUUUGGACACAGACAGCUACAGAGGGAAGACCACGUGAGGACACAGGGAGAAGGUGGCCGUCUACAAGCCAAGGAGAGAGACUGCAGGAGAAACCAACCCUGCCAACACCCUGAUCUCGAACUUCCAGCCUCGAGAACUG
This 334-nucleotide long non-coding RNA is filed under the name Homo sapiens (human). RNAcentral's name for it is "HSALNT0051080". Lineage: Eukaryota; Metazoa; Chordata; Mammalia; Primates; Hominidae. The record is from RNAcentral.